GAUGAACGCUAGCUACAGGCUUAACACAUGCAAGUCGAGGGGCAGCGGGAAGGAAGCUUGCUUUCUUCGCCGGCGACCGGCGCACGGGUGCGUAACGCGUAUCGAACCUACCCUUUACUCGGGAACAGCCUUGCGAAAGCAAGAUUAAUGCCCGAUGUUCCGCGUUUGCCGCAUGGCAAAUUCGGCAAAGAUUUAUUGGUAAAGGAUGGCGAUGCGUCCCAUUAGCUUGUUGCGGGGUAACGGCCCACCAAGGCGACGAUCAGUAGGGGUUCUGAGAGGAAGGUCCCCCCANAUUGGAACUGAGACACGGUCCAAAACUCCUACGGGAGCAGCAGUGAGGAAUAUUGGUCAAUGGGCGAGAGCCUGAACCAGCCCAAGUAGCGUGCAGGACGACGGCCCUAU
Molecule: ribosomal RNA, 402 nt
Filed under: uncultured bacterium
Lineage: Bacteria
Description: bacterial SSU rRNA
Rfam family: Bacterial small subunit ribosomal RNA
Source: RNAcentral